AUGGAGGUGGCGGUGGUGGGCGCCGUGGUGGGCGCCGUGGUGACCAACCUCGUGUCCAAGCUCUCGGCGGUGAUAGACAAGAGAUUCAGCGAGUUCGGUGACCUUGAAGACGACAUCAGGUAUCUGAAAACCGAGCUCGCCAUUAUUGCUGCUAAAAUCGACGACCAGCACAAGGGGCAGCAGCCUAGUGUCUUGCAGAACAUAUCCACCGCAGACAUGCGCGAUUUGGCAUUCGACAUCGAGGAUUGCCUCGACCAGUUCCUUCCCUGUGCCGCGUGCAAGCGAGGGGCCGUGUCAAAAGGCGACUUAGUGGACUUUGCCAUUCAGGUUGGGAAACUCAAGAAGCGGCUGGAGAGGGCCAAGCAGCAGAGAACCGAUAAUGGUGCCAACGGCAGCCAGCAAGCCAUCGACCUUGCUGACCAAUUGCUUGCUAUUCUAGCUGAGCCUGCAGAUCAGGUGGGCAUCGAGGAACCCAAGCAGGAGAUCCUGGGUUUGCUCGGUAGUGAGAAGCUCCUGGUGAUAUCCAUCGUCGGGUUUGGCGGCUCGGGCAAGACCCAACUCGCAAGGGCGGUGUUCGACUGCGAUGAAGCCAAAGAGAAGUUCGGUGCCCGUGCCUGGCAUACGGCAUCGGAGCACAAAGAUGGGCUUGAGCUCUUGCUCGCGAUACUGCAGAAACUUUUUCCAAAAGAAACUCUACUAUCCGUGUCACAAAUGCAAAGUCAAGUCUCGAGGUUGCAACAACGUAUCAGAUUUGAAAAGACCAGGUGUUUAAUUGUAGUUGAUGAUAUCGAGAAGCAUCAUUGGGAAGCAAUAAAGAGUUUCUUUUCUGAGACAAGGAUAAUCAGAAUACUAGUGACCACAACUGUGCAGACAGUAGCCAAAGCAUGCACCAAAGAUCACGGUUAUAUUUACAAUAUGAGAACUCUUAGUGUAGGAGACUCUAAGGAUUUACUAAAGAAGUGGGUUGGUGAUUUCAAUAGAAAUUCAACUGACUUGGAGGAUGGUUCAGCUGCAAUUGUUCGCAAAUGCCAUGGCCAUCCACUAGCUCUCAUCAGUGUGGCCAACUAUUUGUUACAACAAGAGCAGAUUACAGGAGCAGUCUGCCAAAAUACCAGCAGGCUCCUAUGUACUCAUAUGGACGAGAACAAGCAUGGAGACUUCACAAAACUUCGACAGAUUCUGGUGAAUAAUUAUAUCAAUUUGCCUUUCCAUCUCAAGACAUGUUUGCUGUACACAAGUUUAUUCCCAAAUGAUCGUCCUGUCAGCACGAAAACUCUUACCAGCCGAUGGUUAGCCGAAGGAUACAUAAAGCGUGAGACUGAACGCACUUACCAGGAGUCUGCCGAUGAAAAGUUGGAGCAACUGAUGGACAGGAAUAUCAUUCGGCCGGUCGAUACAAGCAACCGUGGAGAAAAGAAGACAUGCAAACCUCACGGUAUCAUGCACCAGUUCAUGCUGUAUAAGUCCAUCUCUUCGAAUUUUGUUGCCCCAUCCCUUGAGAACCGAGGCAAUUUUCGUCACAUCAUGAUGGAUAACCAAAGAAAUAGAAGAGAAACCAACAUGGAUCAUGGUGCCGCCGGUCCAGCUGCACAUCGCCCCAACCAACCAAAAAACUUCUUUAGGUUCUUGAAACCAUCUAAGAGUACAGUAUCCAGUGAGGACCUGCGUCCCCGGUCUCUAACAGUCUUUGGAAGUGCAGAAGAAGCUGUUUAUUCGGAUUUGAUCAACUGUAAGCUGCUGAAAGUGUUGGAUCUAAAAGAGUGCAAUAAUUUGCGGGACAAACAUAUCAAGAACAUAUACAAGCUGUUGCAUCUCAAAUAUCUGACCCUCGGGAGCUCUGUUAGGAGACUUUCAGAUGAAAUAGGAAAUCUACAUUGUUUGGAGACACUCGACUUGAGGAAGACCAAGAUAGAAACACUACCUGUGGAAGUCAUCAGUCUGCCCCACCUAGCACACCUGUUCGGAAAGAUUAAGCUUAACAAGUUGAGUAGAAAGAAGCUUGACAAGUUACUGUCAGGAGAAUGCAACUUGGAGACUCUAUCAGGAGUUGUUGUGGAAAGGAACUCCCCAUUCCCUGAAUUGAUGGAACGUAUGAAAAAACUGACAAAGGUGAAGAUAUGGUGCGUGAUUACCAGCACAGAUGGGAAUUACACCAAACUCUCAGAUGCCAUUCGCAAGUUUGCUCAGGCUGGCAUGGAUACUUCACAAGACGCCCGUUCUCUAUCACUUCAUCUUAAUGGUUCUUCCAAAGAUCUAGUUCAGCUCAGCACGACAUCAAGACAGGCUGGGUCAGCUCCCCUGGUUUUUUAUCUUAGCUCACUGAAACUGCACGGCAGGCUGAGUCACUUCAAAGAGUUUGCUAAGGCCCUGUCUGGUCUCAGGGAAUUGUGCCUUACAUGUACUAAUCUGGAGGGGCCUGUUCUUCUAGCAUGUCUACGUGAGCUAUGGUGCCUGGUUUAUCUCAAACUGGUUGAAGACCGUCUUGAUGAUUUAGACAUAAACCUUGAUGGUGAUCUCGCAAGCCUGCAACGCCUAUGCAUUGUGGUGAAACAAUCCAAAUUCCCCACAAUUGCACAAGGAGCUUUGCCAGGUCUCGUUUCACUUCACAUGCUCUGCAAAGAUCUAGUGGGUCUUUGUGAUGACAUCAAAGUGGAAUGUUUCAGAGAUCUUCGUGAAGUCGCUCUGGACUCUGAGGUCAAUCAAGGAACCAUUGAACUCUGGGAAAAUAAAGCUAAGGAGCACCCUAAGAGGCCAAAGGUUCUGUUGCUCAAAAGGGUUGAGGCAGCCGACACCUGGUCUGCGGCGAAAUAUGUUGCCACUGAUCAGAGACCCUCCAUGCUUCUGGUGCAGGGGACGCCGUGA
Molecule: ribosomal RNA, 2862 nt
Filed under: Triticum aestivum (bread wheat)
Lineage: Eukaryota; Viridiplantae; Streptophyta; Magnoliopsida; Poales; Poaceae
Description: partial small subunit ribosomal RNA
Source: RNAcentral